AGAAUCAACGCUGGCGGCGUGCCUCAGACAUGCAAGUCGAACGCGAAAGUUUCCUUCGGGAAACAAGUAGGGUGGCGCACGGGUGAGUAACACGUAGGUAAUCUACCUUUGGAUGGGGAAUAACAACCGGAAACGGUUGCUAAUACCGCAUAAUGCAGCGGCACCUAAUGGUGACAGUUGCUAAAGCGGGGGAUCGAAAGACCUCGCGUCUAAAGAGGAGCCUGCGGCGGAUUAGCUAGUUGGUAAGGUAACGGCUUACCAAGGCUACGAUCCGUA
Molecule: ribosomal RNA, 276 nt
Filed under: uncultured bacterium
Lineage: Bacteria
Description: partial small subunit ribosomal RNA
Rfam family: Bacterial small subunit ribosomal RNA
Source: RNAcentral